This 110-nucleotide ribosomal RNA is filed under the name uncultured eukaryote. Its description in RNAcentral is "partial small subunit ribosomal RNA". It matches the Rfam family "Eukaryotic small subunit ribosomal RNA", at positions 1675 to 1785 of the family's 1831-position model. The record is from RNAcentral.
GUCGCUCCUACCGAUUGAGUGAUCCGGUGAAUAACUCGGACUACGACAAUUGCAGGCAACUGCUUUUGUUAGUGGGAAGUUUAGUGAACCUUAUUACUUAGAGGAAGGAG